CUGCUGCCUCCCGUAGGAGUUUGGGCCGUGUCUCAGCCCCAAUGUGGCCGUCCACCCUCUCAGGCCGGCUACUGAUCGUCGCCUUGGUGGGCCGUUACCCCGCCAACAAGCUAAUCAGACGCGGGUCCAUCUUACACCACCGGAGUUUUUCACACAAAUCCAUGCGGCUUCGUGCGCUUAUGCGGUAUUAGCACCUAUUUCUAAGUGUUAUCCCCCAGUGUAAGGCAGGUUACCCACGCGUUACUCACCCGUCCGCCACUAAG
Molecule: ribosomal RNA, 263 nt
Filed under: uncultured bacterium
Lineage: Bacteria
Description: partial 16S ribosomal RNA
Source: RNAcentral